RNAcentral lists this long non-coding RNA (1281 nucleotides) under Felis catus (domestic cat). RNAcentral's name for it is "lncRNA (ENSFCAG00000047439.1)". Lineage: Eukaryota; Metazoa; Chordata; Mammalia; Carnivora; Felidae. The record is from RNAcentral.
AGCCCGGGCGCAGCGCAGCCCGCCGAUUCUCCAAAGCCGCCUACGCCGGUUCCGCGGCGUAGCCGCCCGGCGUCGCUGCCCCGCUUACGCAGGCGACAGCGGGCGGACUCCUCCACUGGCUCUCGCCCGAAUCCCGCUCCCUCCUCCGCCCCCGCCCCUUCAGACAAGGCUUCCGGGCCUAGCCGACGCCAGUUUCGAUCUCGCGAGAGUACUCCCUCACCUCCCCGCCGCCUCGCUCCAUUUCGAACAUGACUUCAUUGGCAUCACUGCUCUUUUGCUGCUCAAGUUUAGCCGCCAUGUUUAAAUUGGCGGGAUUUGGCACCUCCGGGGUCGUGGAUAGUCGGGCUUCUGUGCGUGUUCCUGCAACACUGCUUCUGAGGUUUUGGAGCUGCGGAAGCCGCCUGGUUGGCCUUAGGGCCUUCUUACGGAGUUGGCGUAAGGCAAAGAGGCACCCCUGGAAGAGGCCAGAUUGGGAAUCUGCGCUUGGGGCGGGAGCCGCGUCCAAACCUCCACUCCCAGAUAUCGACCUGGCGGCAUUGUGGGUGCGAGUGGAGAGACACUUCGAGGCAGGUGUCUGUGUCUUCAUCCAUCCCCGUGUCCCAGCUUCCAGGACUCUCGGGGUGGAAAGCGAGAUUAGGUCCUGGUUGCCCCCACAUUCCCUUGGCGCUGUCACUUUCUGGUGGCCUGGCACAGCGAAGAGGUCGCCUGCUGCAGCUUCCGCUGCGGACUCCCCACAGUUACACUCGUGUUAGCUCACCUUGUUGGUUACCGAUUCGCCCCUGGUGGAGCUCCACUCUGAUUAAGGAAAUGAAUGGACACACGGGAAGCUAUUAGGCGACAGAUGAAGAGUAAUUAAGUACUAAAAGUGUGUAGUUUCAUACUGUAGCAGUGAAUAUCGUUUGGUCACUGGAGCCUGCCGCCAAAUGCUUAGUAGUCAAAGUAGUCUCACUUUGCCCAGAACAGCCUAUGGUCGUUUGUACCUUUCUUGAAAAUUAAUGUCUGUCUUCGCUGUAGAGUUCAUGAACAUUAUCUUUCCUGUUAAAUUGUAUGUUAAGGAAUCAUAUACAUUUAAUAUAGAAUAUUACAUAAUACAGAAUACGUAUGUAAUAUAUAAUUAUCCUGAACCCGCGCAAGAAUGUUCAUAGCAGCAUUGCUUUUUUAGUGCAACAAAUUAAAUGUCGACUUACAGGAGAAUGGAUGAACAAGUUGCAUUAUUGGACAAACUGACAUACACGGAAUAUUAAAAAAUGGAAAUUAAUAAACCAAUGCUACUGGUGUUCA